RNAcentral lists this ribosomal RNA (400 nucleotides) under uncultured bacterium. RNAcentral's name for it is "bacterial SSU rRNA". It matches the Rfam family "Bacterial small subunit ribosomal RNA", at positions 355 to 752 of the family's 1533-position model. The record is from RNAcentral.
UAAGGAAUAUUGGUCAAUGGGCGGAAGCCUGAACCAGCCAUGCCGCGUGCAGGAAGAAGGCUCUAUGGGUUGUAAACUGCUUUUGUAGUGGAAUAAACCUGGUUACGCGUAACCAGCUGAAAGUACAUUACGAAUAAGGAUCGGCUAACUCCGUGCCAGCAGCCGCGGUAAUACGGAGGAUCCAAGCGUUAUCCGGAUUUAUUGGGUUUAAAGGGUGCGUAGGCGGCUAUAUAAGUCAGGGGUGAAAACUUUGAGCUCAACUGAAAGCUUGCCUUUGAUACUGUAUAGCUUGAAUGCAGAUGAAGUAGGCGGAAUGUGGCAAGUAGCGGUGAAAUGCAUAGAUAUGCCACAGAACACCAAUUGCGAAGGCAGCUUACUAAAGUGCUAUUGACGCUGAUGC